GGGCCCGCACAAGCGGUGGAGCAUGUGGUUUAAUUCGAUGCAACGCGAAGAACCUUACCAGGGCUUGACAUACUACAGAUUCUUUAGAGAUAGAUUGGUGCCUUCGGGAACGCAGUGACAGGUGCUGCAUGGCUGUCGUCAGCUCGUGUCGUGAGAUGUUGGGUUAAGUCCCGUAACGAGCGCAACCCUUGUCCUUAUUUGCCAUCAUUUAGUUGGGCACUCUAGGGAGACUGCCGGUGACAAACCGGAGGAAGUGGGGACGACGUCAAGUCAUCAUGGCCCUUACGACCAGGGCUACACACGUGCUACAAUGGGGCGUACAAAGGGUUGCAAUCCCGCGAGGGGGAGCUAA
Molecule: ribosomal RNA, 352 nt
Filed under: uncultured bacterium
Lineage: Bacteria
Description: bacterial SSU rRNA
Rfam family: Bacterial small subunit ribosomal RNA
Source: RNAcentral